Molecule: small nucleolar RNA, 108 nt
Filed under: Solanum lycopersicum (tomato)
Lineage: Eukaryota; Viridiplantae; Streptophyta; Magnoliopsida; Solanales; Solanaceae
Description: Plant small nucleolar RNA R71
Rfam family: Plant small nucleolar RNA R71
About the family: R71 is a member of the C/D box family of snoRNAs containing the C (UGAUGA) and D (CUGA) box motifs. Multiple nearly identical copies of this snoRNA have been identified in Arabidopsis, and it is thought to function as a 2'-O-ribose methylation guide for 18S ribosomal RNA.
Source: Rfam by way of RNAcentral
UGAUGAUGAUGAAGACAUCUCAUAAACAUCGAUUUUAAAUCUGUCCCAAGAUUGAUACAAGUUCUCACCACCUUUCUGCCUAAGACAUAAAAUGUCACUCCUCAAUUU